ACGUACCGUACGAACGUUAUUCGGAAUUACUGGGCUUAAAGGGUUUGUAGGCGGCUUUGUAAGUCAGGUGUGAAAUCCCUCGGCUCAACCGAGGAAUGGCGCUUGAUACUGCAAGGCUUGAGGGAGACAGGGGUAAGCGGAACUGAUGGUGGAGCGGUGAAAUGCGUUGAUAUCAUCAGGAACACCGGUGGCGAAAGCGGCUUACUGGGUCUCUUCUGACGCUGAGGAACGAAAGCUAGGGUAGCGAACGGGA
This 253-nucleotide ribosomal RNA is filed under the name uncultured prokaryote. Its description in RNAcentral is "partial 16S ribosomal RNA". It matches the Rfam family "Bacterial small subunit ribosomal RNA", at positions 525 to 777 of the family's 1533-position model. The record is from RNAcentral.